GGGAGUAUGGUCGCAAGGCUGAAACU
Molecule: non-coding RNA, 26 nt
Filed under: Drosophila erecta
Lineage: Eukaryota; Metazoa; Arthropoda; Insecta; Diptera; Drosophilidae
Also listed under: 6 other names
Source: RNAcentral